Molecule: transfer RNA, 72 nt
Filed under: Chlorogonium elongatum
Lineage: Eukaryota; Viridiplantae; Chlorophyta; Chlorophyceae; Chlamydomonadales; Haematococcaceae
Description: transfer RNA-Gln
Rfam family: tRNA
About the family: Transfer RNA (tRNA) molecules are approximately 80 nucleotides in length. Their secondary structure includes four short double-helical elements and three loops (D, anti-codon, and T loops).
Source: RNAcentral
UGGGCAUUAGCCAAGAGGUAAGGCAGAGGAUUUUGAUUCCUCCACGCAUACGUUCGAAUCGUAUAUGCCCAG